CAAGCGGAGGAGCAUGUGGUUUAAUUCGAUGAUACGCGAGGAACCUUACCUGGGCUCGAACGUAAGAUGACUGUAGGUGAAAGCUUACAUCUCUUCGGAGCAUUUUACGAGGUGCUGCAUGGUUGUCGUCAGCUCGUGCCGUGAGGUGUCGGGUUAAGUCCCAUAACGAGCGCAACCCCUACCUUUAGUUGCCAUCAGGUAAUGCUGGGGACUCUAAAGGAACUGCCUACGCAAGUAGUGAGGAAGGCGGGGAUGACGUCAAAUCAGCACGGCCCUUACGUCCAGGGCUACACACGUGCUACAAUGGCCGAUACAGAGGGCAGCUACCUGGUGACAGGAUGCAAAUCUCCAAAGUCGGUCUCAGUUCGGAUCGGAGUCUGCAACCCGACUCCGUGAAGUUGGAUUCGCUAGUAAUCGCGCAUCAGCCAUGGCGCGGUGAAUACGUUCCCGGGCCUU
RNAcentral lists this ribosomal RNA (456 nucleotides) under uncultured Sphingobacteriales bacterium. RNAcentral's name for it is "bacterial SSU rRNA". It matches the Rfam family "Bacterial small subunit ribosomal RNA", at positions 926 to 1382 of the family's 1533-position model. Lineage: Bacteria; Pseudomonadati; Bacteroidota; Sphingobacteriia; Sphingobacteriales. The record is from RNAcentral.